CCUACGGGUGGCAGCAGUAGGGAAUAUUGCUCAAUGGGGGAAACCCUGAAGCAGCAACGCCGCGUGGAGGAUGAAGGUUUUCGGAUUGUAAACUCCUUUUGUUAGAGAAGAUAAUGACGGUAUCUAACGAAUAAGCACCGGCUAACUCCGUGCCAGCAGCCGCGGUAAUACGGAGGGUGCAAGCGUUACUCGGAAUCACUGGGCGUAAAGAGCGCGUAGGCGGGAAAGCAAGUCAGAUGUGAAAUCCUAUGGCUUAACCAUAGAACUGCAUUUGAAACUGUUUUUCUAGAGUAUGGGAGAGGUAGGUGGAAUGCUUGGUGUAGGGGUGAAAUCCGUAGAGAGCAAGAGGAAUACUCAUUGCGAAGGCGACCUGCUGGAACAUAACUGACGCUGAUGCGCGAAAGCGUGGGGAGCAAACAGGAUUAGAUACCCGAGUAGUC
This 440-nucleotide ribosomal RNA is filed under the name uncultured bacterium. RNAcentral's name for it is "partial 16S ribosomal RNA". It matches the Rfam family "Bacterial small subunit ribosomal RNA", at positions 338 to 795 of the family's 1533-position model. The record is from RNAcentral.